Molecule: long non-coding RNA, 619 nt
Filed under: Pongo abelii (Sumatran orangutan)
Lineage: Eukaryota; Metazoa; Chordata; Mammalia; Primates; Hominidae
Description: lincRNA
Source: RNAcentral
CAACUUUGCUAUCUUAGAACGGAUCACCAGUGAAAGAGGGGAAGUUGCUACUGUGAUGAAUUCUGCCAUGUGGUACCAGACUGCUGCCCAGACCACAGUGUCCUCUGCAACCCUGGUAACUCACAUACAGGCCUGAUUCCACCUACAGCAAAGCUGGAUGCUAUGGUUGGCAGAGGCAAGCCCCUUGCCUGCACUUCAGGCCAAAGCCGGGAUGUGGCCUAGAUGGUUCCUAAGCUUCUCAGAUGACCAAGAUGGUGCUGCCGAUGGUGUUGAGGACGGAGAACCCACCAAGCCCCGUUAGGAGCCACCUAGACUGGAUGCAGAGCACAGCUAAAACCUUUGAAGAGGAAUUUAUUAUAUCCUACAAACCUGGGAGGCAGAGGUUGCAGUGAGCCAAGUUCGGUCCAUUGCACUCCAGCCUGGGCAACAAGAAUGAAACUCUGUCUCAAAAAAACAAAAGUUGGCUAGGGCCAGGUGUGGUGGCUCACACCUGUAAUCCCAGCACUUUGGGAGGCUAAAGCAGGCGGAUCACCUGAGGUCAGAAGUACAGGACCAUCCUGGCUAAUAUGGUGAAACCCCAUCUCUACUAAAAAUACAAAAAAAAAAAAAAAAAAAAAAA